This 68-nucleotide transfer RNA is filed under the name Ictidomys tridecemlineatus (thirteen-lined ground squirrel). Its description in RNAcentral is "Spermophilus tridecemlineatus (thirteen-lined ground squirrel) tRNA". It matches the Rfam family "tRNA". From Rfam's summary of the family: Transfer RNA (tRNA) molecules are approximately 80 nucleotides in length. Their secondary structure includes four short double-helical elements and three loops (D, anti-codon, and T loops). The record is from Rfam by way of RNAcentral. RNAcentral also lists the same sequence under 1 other name. Lineage: Eukaryota; Metazoa; Chordata; Mammalia; Rodentia; Sciuridae.
GGGGUUGUGGCUCAGUGGUAGAGCACUUGCCUAGCAUUCAUGAGGCACUGGUUUAAUUCCCAUCACCA